GAAAGAUCUCCCAUGCUCAUGGAUUGGCAGGAUUAAUAUAGUAAAAAUGGCCAUUUUACCAAAAGCGAUCUACAGAUUCGAUGCAAUCCCCAUCAAAAUACCAAUCCAAUUCUUCAAAGAGUUAGACAGAACAAUUUGCAAAUUCAUCUGGAAUAACAAAAAACCCAGGAUAGCUAAAACUAUCCUCAACAACAAAAGGACUUCAGGGGGAAUCACUAUCCCUGAACUCAAGCAGUAUUACAGAGCAAUAGUGAUAAAAACUGCAUGGUAUUGGUACAGAGACAGACAGAUAGACCAAUGGAAUAGAAUUGAAGACCCAGAAAUG
RNAcentral lists this long non-coding RNA (325 nucleotides) under Rattus norvegicus (Norway rat). RNAcentral's name for it is "long non-coding RNA NONRATT011459". Lineage: Eukaryota; Metazoa; Chordata; Mammalia; Rodentia; Muridae. The record is from RNAcentral.